Molecule: long non-coding RNA, 475 nt
Filed under: Physcomitrium patens
Lineage: Eukaryota; Viridiplantae; Streptophyta; Bryopsida; Funariales; Funariaceae
Description: long non-coding RNA (PPAT_LNC008614)
Source: RNAcentral
ACAUCAUUAAUUUAUUGAAGUAUGAGUAAAAACAAAGACAAACACUUGCACACAUUUUGAGAACUAACUACUCCUCUGGUUUGUGUUAUUCGUUUGUUAGCUGAUUCGUUCACCACGAUGACAGAGUAUGCUAUUGUUCUUUUAAAAGAGGAAAAAAUAUGAGUCAACAAAGGAUGGGUUUGACUUGUUGGUAUUUUCCAUCCACUUAUAAGCGCCGCAUUGUAUGAGACAGGCAACUAUGACCCGCAUUCAUCCACACCUCUAGUUCCUCACUUUUCUCGUGUCUUCUAUUACGUGCUGUUGACCUUAUAACACUGAAUUAAUCCAAAUUCCUAUUAUUAUAAGCAUUAGACUCAAGGAUUAGUAAUGAGAGGAUACUAUUCAGAGUAGGUAUGUAUUGAUAUCAACUCCUUCUUCACCUCUAAUUAUUCUACUGGCCACUAUUAAUAACUUAAUGCCUUUGUCAACUUAACCC